Molecule: non-coding RNA, 130 nt
Organism: Rattus norvegicus (Norway rat)
Lineage: Eukaryota; Metazoa; Chordata; Mammalia; Rodentia; Muridae
Source: Rfam
AGCUUUGCGCAGUGGCAGUAUCGUAGCCAAUGAGGUUUAUCCGAGGCACGGUUAUUGCUAAUUGAAAACUUGACCUUUCUGCAUCCAUGUUCUCAUCUACAAAAUGAGAUGUAACUUAUUCUUCAAUAGA